This 372-nucleotide transfer-messenger RNA is filed under the name Candidatus Krumholzibacteriia bacterium. It matches the Rfam family "transfer-messenger RNA". Rfam says of the family: Bacterial tmRNA, also known as 10Sa RNA or SsrA, is named for its dual tRNA and mRNA-like properties. Its role is to liberate the mRNA from a stalled ribosome. The record is from RNAcentral. Lineage: Bacteria; Candidatus Krumholzibacteriota; Candidatus Krumholzibacteriia.
GGGGGCGAACUGGUCUCGACGGGGGAGAUGGGCGUACCGGUUGCGUGUCGAGCAAUGUCACCAGAGCUCGUUAAUCUUCGUGACAAACCUGUAAGUGUCGACAAUAACGUCGCACUGGCUGCCUAACUAGCUAAGCUAGGGUAGGCUCCCGUCCCCACCGGCUGGGUCUCCAGGGCCGGUGAGUGGGCGUCAUAUCCUGGGGGCUGGCGUGGCGGCACCGCUCGGGGCCAAAGCGCGAGAACCUACCGGGCUGGUCUCCGAUGCAUUGUGUUCGCGGUGGGCACGGAGAUGAGAUUACAUCGCGGACUACACACGUAGUAACCGUUGCGGCUGCUUCUUCGGACGCGGGUUCGAUUCCCGCCGCCUCCACCA